Molecule: RNA transcript, 2831 nt
Organism: Poecile atricapillus (Black-capped chickadee)
Lineage: Eukaryota; Metazoa; Chordata; Aves; Passeriformes; Paridae
Gene: OSGEP
Gene name: O-sialoglycoprotein endopeptidase
Exons: 12
Source: RefSeq, a predicted model, not a curated record
GGGUGAGGGGGGCGGUGGAACGGAAGUGGCGUAGCGGAGCGGCGGGAGAAGCGGCGGGAGGAGAGGCGGCGGCGGCGGCGGCGGCGUGACGUCACUGGGGGGACACCGGGGAGCCCGGCGUGACGUCAUGCCGACCGUGCUGGGCCUGGAGGGCUCCGCCAACAAGGUGGGCGCGGGGGUGGUGCGGGACGGCGCCGUCCUCAGCAACCGCCGCGCCACCUACGUCACGCCGCCGGGACAGGGCUUCGCCCCCGGCCCCACCGGGCGGCACCACCGGGCCGUGCUGCUGGGCCUGGUCCAGGCCGCGCUGCGCGAGGCGGGCGUCGGGCCCCGCGACCUCGACGGGGUCGCCUUCACCAAGGGCCCUGGCAUGGGUUCCCCCCUGGCGGUGGUAGCGGCCGUGGCGCGGACGCUGGCGCAGCUCUGGGGGCGGCCCCUGCUGGCUGUCAAUCACUGCGUGGGGCACAUCGAGAUGGGGCGGCUGCUCGGCCCCGCCCCCGACCCGCUCGUGCUCUACGUCAGCGGCGGCAACACACAGGUGAUCGCGUACUCCCGGCACCGGUACCGGAUCCUGGGCGAGACCCUGGACGUGGCCGUGGGGAACUGCAUCGACCGCCUGGCCCGGCUGCUGCAGAUCCCAAACGCCCCCAGCCCUGGCUACAACGUGGAGCAGCUGGCCAAGAGGGGCCGCCGGCUGAUCGCGCUGCCCUACGUGGUCAAGGGUCUCGACGUCUCCUUCUCGGGGCUCCUGUCCCACCUCCAGGCUGUGACCCCCAAACUGCUGGGGUCGGGGGAGGCGACGCCGGAGGAUUUGUGCUUCUCCCUGCAGGAGACGGCGUUCGCGAUGCUGGCCGAGGUCACCGAGCGCGCGCUGGCGCUGACGCGGGCGCGGCACCUGCUGCUCGUGGGGGGCGUGGCCUGUAACCGCCGGCUGCAGGAGAUGCUGCAGACAAUGUGCAGGGCCCGGGGGGCCGAGCUGUGCCCCACAGACGAGAGGUACUGCAUCGACAACGGCGCCAUGAUCGCCCAGGCCGGGUGGGAGAUGCUGAGAGUGGGGCAGGUGACGGAGCUCAGCCAAUCAGGGAUCACGCAGAGGUACCGGACGGACGAGGUGGAGGUGACCUGGAGGGACUGAGGUGACCACGCCCCAAAUGGCCACGCCCUUUUAAUAAAAUAGACCCCACCCCUCCCAUCUUCUGGCCACGCCUCUUUAUGUGUGGAUGAUGCCAUUCAAUUGCUGACCCCGCCCAUCUAGAGAGGACCAAUCAGCUUCCGAUGCUGCUUGUCAGUCACCCAGGGAACUCUGCCCUCCCACUGUCAAUCAACUGGUGCAAGCCACGCCCCUUUUGUUUGAUUACAUCAAUGCCCCCUGUCAAUCAACAGCUUCAAUCCCCGCCCCUUGCAUUGGGUUACAUCAGUGCCAUCUCUGUCAAUCACCCAUGGGCCACGCCCACUCGUAUUGCAUAACCGCAGCUCUCUCCUGCAUGAGUGGCAGCCCAGCGGCCAAUAGGAUUGGAGGGCGGUAAAGCGAUGGCCAAUAGGAGCGCGGGGGGGCGUGACUUUGCUGAUGGGGGCUGGCGGGCGAAGGCGGGAUCGGUUCAGUCUGUGAGGGGCCGGCGAAGGGGUCGGAUCGCAGUGGAGAGGUAGCGGGAGGAAAUGGCGGCUGUGGGGGAAGGAGGCUGUGUGCGUUUGCGUGCGUGUGUGUGUGUUUGUGUCGCGACAUGGCUCCCGCUCGCGAUCCCGACCCGCGUUCCCCCCGUCGCCGCCAGCCGCGGGCGCUCGGGGUUUUAGCGGUGUCGCAGAGCAGCGGCGGCUCCUUCUUCACUCGGCGGAGCAGAGGCUUCGGGGCUCCACCGGAAUUUGGGGGGUCGCACAAAUGUUCCGGGAGGGGCCGCGGGGGCUCCGGGCCGGGCCGGGGGAGGUUCUCGGGAGGGCUCCCGCGGUCCCGGUUCGGUCCCGGUCUGAUUCCAUUUCUGUUCUCUCAGGCGGAGCUGCCGGCGGGAAUCUGCUUCAGGAGGAUCUCCGCUGUAUUCUUUCCUUCCUUUUCUGCUGUUUUGUUUUUUGGUUUUUUUUUUUUAACCAUAUUUGCUUAACCUGAAAAUUCUUUACCUCAUUUUCCCUCACGAUUUGCGCUCCCCACCACGUGUCUCCCCAUCCUUCCCUGAAGGAAGGAGCCGCUUGCCGGAAACGGCGCCCCGCGGAUUUCGGCGCUGUAAAACUACAAUUUUACAUCUUUAAUUUACGUUUUUAAAAUUAGUUUUCCGCUUCAAAGAACUCUUUUUGUAUUUUCAAUUAGUGUUUUGGGGUUUUUUGAAGAGUUUUUGGAGUUUUUUUUGCGGAAUUCGAGGCGAUUUAGCUUCAGAGUUCCACCCUCAGGAUUUGGACCCUCCCCACGUGUUUUGCCUCCUCUUUAACGUUGACUAAAUCAGAAUAUACUUUAAUAUGAAAAACCACAAAACCUUUUUCCCGAAAUUUACCUCCUAAUUUUUGUUUUUUAUCGAUUUUACUUUUUAUUUUGGCCCAUUUUUCCUCCGCCUUUCCCUGAGGCGCUGCCCGCGCCGGGAAAACCGCGCCCCGAUUCUUAUACUUUUAUUUUCUAUUUUUAUUUUUCGAUUUCCCAGAUUCCACCGCUGUUAGUGGAGGUUUGGGCUAUAAGUCUUUAUUCUCUAUUUUGCCGGGUUUUUUUUCCCCAGAUAAAUUGUUGUCCUGAUGUUAUGAAUAUGUUUCUUUUAUGGAUCGCUGGAAUAAAUCCUUCUUCGCUGUGGAAUUUACCGCGGGUUUGGCGAGGGGAAGCCUAAGAGUUUUAUUUAAGUAGUUUAAAAGUUUUAUUU